This 90-nucleotide transfer RNA is filed under the name Duganella sp. Root1480D1. RNAcentral describes it as "tRNA-Ser". It matches the Rfam family "tRNA". From Rfam's summary of the family: Transfer RNA (tRNA) molecules are approximately 80 nucleotides in length. Their secondary structure includes four short double-helical elements and three loops (D, anti-codon, and T loops). Further hydrogen bonds mediate the characteristic L-shaped molecular structure. tRNAs have two regions of fundamental functional importance: the anti-codon, which is responsible for specific mRNA codon recognition, and the 3' end, to which the tRNAs corresponding amino acid is attached (by aminoacyl-tRNA synthetases). tRNAs cope with the degeneracy of the genetic code in two manners: having more than one tRNA (with a specific anti-codon) for a particular amino acid; and 'wobble' base-pairing, i.e. permitting non-standard base-pairing at the 3rd anti-codon position. RNAcentral also lists the same sequence under 17 other names. Lineage: Bacteria; Pseudomonadati; Pseudomonadota; Betaproteobacteria; Burkholderiales; Oxalobacteraceae. The record is from RNAcentral.
GGAAGCGUGGCCGAGUGGUUGAAGGCAGCAGUCUUGAAAACUGCCGACGGUUAAUCCCGUUCGUGAGUUCGAAUCUCACCGCUUCCGCCA